RNAcentral lists this ribosomal RNA (1522 nucleotides) under metagenome. RNAcentral describes it as "bacterial SSU rRNA". It matches the Rfam family "Bacterial small subunit ribosomal RNA". The record is from RNAcentral.
AGAGUUUGAUCAUGGCUCAGAUUGAACGCUGGCGGCAGGCCUAACACAUGCAAGUCGAACGGUAACAGGAAACAGCUUGCUGUUUCGCUGACGAGUGGCGGACGGGUGAGUAAUGUCUGGGAAACUGCCUGAUGGAGGGGGAUAACUACUGGAAACGGUAGCUAAUACCGCAUAACGUCGCAAGACCAAAGAGGGGGACCUUCGGGCCUCUUGCCAUCAGAUGUGCCCAGAUGGGAUUAGCUAGUAGGUGGGGUAACGGCUCACCUAGGCGACGAUCCCUAGCUGGUCUGAGAGGAUGACCAGCCACACUGGAACUGAGACGCGGUCCAGACUCCUACGGGAGGCAGCAGUGGGGAAUAUUGCACAAUGGGCGCAAGCCUGAUGCAGCCAUGCCGCGUGUAUGAAGAAGGCCUUCGGGUUGUAAAGUACUUUCAGCGGGGAGGAAGGGAGUAAAGUUAAUACCUUUGCUCAUUGACGUUACCCGCAGAAGAAGCACCGGCUAACUCCGUGCCAGCAGCCGCGGUAAUACGGAGGGUGCAAGCGUUAAUCGGAAUUACUGGGCGUAAAGCGCACGCAGGCGGUUUGUUAAGUCAGAUGUGAAAUCCCCGGGCUCAACCUGGGAACUGCAUCUGAUACUGGCAAGCUUGAGUCUCGUAGAGGGGGGUAGAAUUCCGGGUGUAGCGGUGAAAUGCGUAGAGAUCUGGAGGAAUACCGGUGGCGAAGGCGGCCCCCUGGACGAAGACUGACGCUCAGGUGCGAAAGCGUGGGGAGCAAACAGGAUUAGAUACCCUGGUAGUCCACGCCGUAAACGAUGUCGACUUGGAGGUUGUGCCCUUGAGGCGUGGCUUCCGGAGCUAACGCGUUAAGUCGACCGCCUGGGGAGUACGGCCGCAAGGUUAAAACUCAAAUGAAUUGACGGGGGCCCGCACAAGCGGUGGAGCAUGUGGUUUAAUUCGAUGCAACGCGAAGAACCUUACCUGGUCUUGACAUCCACGGAAGUUUUCAGAGAUGAGAAUGUGCCUUCGGGAACCGUGAGACAGGUGCUGCAUGGCUGUCGUCAGCUCGUGUUGUGAAAUGUUGGGUUAAGUCCCGCAACGAGCGCAACCCUUAUCCUUUGUUGCCAGCGGUCCGGCCGGGAACUCAAAGGAGACUGCCAGUGAUAAACUGGAGGAAGGUGGGGAUGACGUCAAGUCAUCAUGGCCCUUACGACCAGGGCUACACACGUGCUACAAUGGCGCAUACAAAGAGAAGCGACCUCGCGAGAGCAAGCGGACCUCAUAAAGUGCGUCGUAGUCCGGAUUGGAGUCUGCAACUCGACUCCAUGAAGUCGGAAUCGCUAGUAAUCGUGGAUCAGAAUGCCACGGUGAAUACGUUCCCGGGCCUUGUACACACCGCCCGUCACACCAUGGGAGUGGGUUGCAAAAGAAGUAGGUAGCUUAACCUUCGGGAGGGCGCUUACCACUUUGUGAUUCAUGACUGGGGUGAAGUCGAAACAAGGUAACCGUAGGGGAACCUGCGGUUG